RNAcentral lists this ribosomal RNA (253 nucleotides) under uncultured bacterium. Its description in RNAcentral is "partial 16S ribosomal RNA". It matches the Rfam family "Bacterial small subunit ribosomal RNA", at positions 524 to 776 of the family's 1533-position model. The record is from RNAcentral.
UACGAAGGGGGCUAGCGUUGCUCGGAAUCACUGGGCGUAAAGGGCGCGUAGGCGGCGUUUUAAGUCGGGGGUGAAAGCCUGUGGCUCAACCACAGAAUGGCCUUCGAUACUGAGGCGCUUGAGUAUGGUAGAGGUUGGUGGAACUGCGAGUGUAAAGGUGAAAUUCGUAGAUAUUCGCAAGAACACCGGUGGCGAAGGCGGCCAACUGGACCAUUACUGACGCUGAGGCGCGAAAGCGUGGGGAGCAAACAGG